Molecule: transfer RNA, 71 nt
Filed under: Puniceicoccales bacterium
Lineage: Bacteria; Pseudomonadati; Verrucomicrobiota; Opitutia; Puniceicoccales
Description: tRNA-Gln
Rfam family: tRNA
About the family: Transfer RNA (tRNA) molecules are approximately 80 nucleotides in length. Their secondary structure includes four short double-helical elements and three loops (D, anti-codon, and T loops).
Source: RNAcentral
UGCCCGAUGGUGUAACGGUAGCACAGCAGAUUCUGGAUCUGUUUGUCAAGGUUCGAAUCCUUGUCGGGCAG